GGUAUUGCGCCGGAUUGAACGGAUUAUAUUGAUGUUAUAAAAUAUAAGGCUCUUUAACCUUCAAUACCU
RNAcentral lists this transfer RNA (69 nucleotides) under Rhombosepion orbignyanum. RNAcentral's name for it is "tRNA-Ile". Lineage: Eukaryota; Metazoa; Mollusca; Cephalopoda; Sepiida; Sepiidae. The record is from RNAcentral.